AGUUGGUACUUGGUGCCAAGAUUUGAAAAUUUUUUAAAGUAUUUGUUUUUUAGACUUAGGCACUGCAGUGCACUCUUUAAAUCCCCAAAUGAUUACUGGUGCCAAAAUCUAGGUGCAAGAAUAUUUUCUAUUUGGUUGGUUUUCAAGGAAACCUAGUUUGGUUUUGAGACUUGGCUCGUUAUUGUUUGGUGCCAUGAUUUGGAAAUUUUUGAAAGUCCUUGUUUUUUACAUUUAGGGAUGUAAUGCACACUUUAAAUCCCGAAAUGAAGACUGGUGACAAAAAAUAGGUGCAAGCAAAUUUUCCAUUUGGUUGGUUUUCAAGCAAGCCAAGUUUCGUGAUGAGAUUUGGCUAUAUUGGUACUUGGUGCCAAGAUUUGAAAUUUUGUGAAAGUCUUGGUUUUUGAGACUUAGGGACUGCAAUGCACUCUUUAAAUCCCCAAAUGCUUACUGGUGUCAAAUCUAGGUGCAAGAAGAUUUUCAAUUUGGUUGGUUUUCAAGCAAACCUAGUUUGGUUGUGAGACUUGGCUAGGUUAUUGUUUGGUGCCAAAAUUUGGAAAUUUUUGAAAGUCUUGGUUUUUGACUUUUAGGGAUGUAAUGCACCUUUAAAAUCCCGAAAUGAUGACUGGUGACAAAAAAUAGGUGCAUAAAAAUUUUCAAUUUGAUUAGUUUUCAAUCAAGCCAAGUUUGGUGAUGAGAGUUGGCUAAGGUUAUACUUGGUGCCAAGAUUUGAAAAUUUUUGAAAAACAUGGUUUUUGAUACUUAGGGACUGCACUCUUUAAAUCCCUAAAUGACUUUCAAUUUGGUUGGUUUUCAAGCAAGCCAAGUUUGGUGAUGAAACUUGGCUAAGUUGGUUCUUAGUGCGAAGAUUUGAAAAUUUUUGAAAGUCUUGCUUUUUGAGACAUAGGGAAUGCAAUGCACUCUUUAAAUCCCAAAUGCUUACUGGUGUCAAAAUCUAGGUGCAAGAAGAUUUUCAAUUUGGUUGGUUUUCAGGCACACCUAGUUUGGUUUUGAGACUUGGCUAGGUUAUUGUUUGGUGCAAAAAUUUGGAAAGUUUUGAAAUUCUUGGUUUUUGACAUUUAGGGAUGUAAUGCACACUUUAAAUCCCUAAAUGGUGACUGGUGAAAAAAAAUAGGUGCAUGAAAAUUUUAAAUUUUGAUUGGUUUUCAAGCAAGCCAAGUUUCGUGAUGAGAUUUAGCUAAGUUAUUGUUUGGUGCCAAAAUUUGGAAAUUUUUGAAAGUCAUGGUUUUUGACAUUUAGAGAUGUAAUGCACGCUUUAAAUCCCGAAAUGAUGACUGGUGACAAAAAAUAGUUGCAUGAAAAUUUUCAAUUUGAUUGGUUUUCAAGCAAGCCAAGUUUGGUGAUGAGAUUUUGCUAAGGUUGUACUUGGUGCCAAGAUUUGAAAAUUUUUGAAAGUCUUGUUUUUAAGACUCAGGGACUGCAAUGCACUCUUUAAAUCCCAAAUGCUUACUGGUGUCAAAAUCUAGGUGCAAGAAGAUUUUGAAUUUGGUUGGUUUUCAAGGAAACCUAGUUUGGUUUUGAGACUUGGCUAGGUUAUUGUUUGGUGCCAAGAUUUGGAAAUUUUUGAAAGUCUCGGUUGUUGACAUUUAGGGAUGUAAAGCACACUUUAAAUAAAUAAAUGAUGACCGGUGAAAAAAAAUAGGUGCAUCAAAAUUUUCAAAUUGAUUGGUUUUCAAGCAAGCCUAGUUUGGUGAUGAGCUUUGGCUAAGGUUGUACUUGGUGCCAAGAUUUGAAAAUUUUUGAAACUCUUUGUUUUUUUUACUUAGGGACAGCAAUGCACACUUUAAAUCCCUAAAUGAUUACUGGUGUCAAAAUCUAGGUGCAAGAAGAUUUUCAAUUUGGUUUGUUUUCAAGCAAACCUAGUUUGGUUUUGAGACUUGGCUAGGUUUUUGUUUGGUGCCAAGAUUUGGAAAUUUUUAAAAGUGUUGGUUUUUGACAUUUAGGGAUGCAAUGCACACUUUAAAUCCUGAAAUGACGACUGGUGACAAAAAAUAGGUGCAAGAAAAUUUUCAAUUUGGUUGGUUUUCAAGCAAGCCAAGUUUGGUGAUGAGA
RNAcentral lists this long non-coding RNA (2070 nucleotides) under Vigna radiata. Its description in RNAcentral is "long non-coding RNA (VRAD_LNC017692)". The record is from RNAcentral. Lineage: Eukaryota; Viridiplantae; Streptophyta; Magnoliopsida; Fabales; Fabaceae.